CACCUGUUGCCACCUAAAAUCCAGCUCAGCAUCAAAGGCAUUCCAACCUUGAUGAAAAAUCUGCCGCCAACUCUUCCAGGAUGCGGUAUCCUCAACUUUGUCAAAAACUACAUGUGA
RNAcentral lists this ribosomal RNA (117 nucleotides) under Triticum aestivum (bread wheat). Its description in RNAcentral is "partial small subunit ribosomal RNA". Lineage: Eukaryota; Viridiplantae; Streptophyta; Magnoliopsida; Poales; Poaceae. The record is from RNAcentral.